RNAcentral lists this ribosomal RNA (320 nucleotides) under Turgida turgida. RNAcentral's name for it is "SSU rRNA". It matches the Rfam family "Eukaryotic small subunit ribosomal RNA", at positions 628 to 953 of the family's 1831-position model. Lineage: Eukaryota; Metazoa; Nematoda; Chromadorea; Rhabditida; Physalopteridae. The record is from RNAcentral.
UCGUAGUUGGAUCUGCGCCUCAGGACCUGGUCCGUCUUAUGGAUGAGAACUGGGCUCCUAGGCUAAUACUGCUGGUUUUUUUACGUUACCUUCAUCGGUCGCGUAAGGUGGCCAGCGAGUUUACCUUGAAAAAAUUAGAGUGCUCAAAGCGGGCUAAUGCCUGCAUAUUCGUGCAUGGAAUAAUGAAAUAGGAUCUCGGUUCUAUUUUGUUGGUUUCUGAUCUGAGAUAAUGGUUAAGAGGGACAAGACGGGGGCAUUCGUAUCGCUGCGUGAGAGGUGAAAUUCUUGGACCCGUAGCGAGACGCCCGACUGCGAAAGCA